Molecule: long non-coding RNA, 105 nt
Organism: Xenia sp. Carnegie-2017
Lineage: Eukaryota; Metazoa; Cnidaria; Anthozoa; Malacalcyonacea; Xeniidae
Exons: 2
Source: RefSeq, a predicted model, not a curated record
GUUCUGUUAGGAAUGAAAGAGGAUGGAUGAAAGAGGAAGAAAAUCAAGGCAGGAUUUGAAUGAAAGAGGAUGGAUGAAAGAGGAAGAAAAUCAAGGCAGGAAUUG